GAGGCAUCGUCCACAAGCUUCCUCAAAACCUGAGCAGAAAUCUCCUCAGCAGCAAACUGCUUGCCAAUUGCAGGGCAAUCCAACUUAACAUUUCCAUUCUCAUCCCUAAAUACUUUAUAAGAAACCUGCUUUGACUCUUCAUCCACUUCAGACAUCUUUCUGCCAAUAAACCUCUUCACAGAGAAGAAAGUAUUCUCUGGGUUCACCACUGCCUGCCGCUUUGCAAUCUGCCCCACAAGCCUAUCCCC
This 248-nucleotide unclassified non-coding RNA is filed under the name Hevea brasiliensis (rubber tree). The record is from RNAcentral. Lineage: Eukaryota; Viridiplantae; Streptophyta; Magnoliopsida; Malpighiales; Euphorbiaceae.